UGCAGUCGACGAUGAUCCCAGCUUGCUGGGGGAUUAGUGGCGAACGGGUGAGUAACACGUGAGUAACCUGCCCUUGACUCUGGGAUAAGCCUGGGAAACUGGGUCUAAUACCGGAUAUGACCGCUCUGACGCAUGUCAGGUGGUGGAAAGCUUUUGUGGUUUUGGAUGGACUCGCGGCCUAUCAGCUUGUUGGUGGGGUAAUGGCCUACCAAGGCGACGACGGGUAGCCGGCCUGAGAGGGUGACCGGCCACACUGGGACUGAGACACGGCCCAGACUCCUACGGGAGGCAGCAGUGGGGAAUAUUGCACAAUGGGCGCAAGCCUGAUGCAGCGACGCCGCGUGAGGGAUGACGGCCUUCGGGUUGUAAACCUCUUUCAGUAGGGAAGAAGCGAAAGUGACGGUACCUGCAGAAGAAGCGCCGGCUAACUACGUGCCAGCAGCCGCGGUAAUACGUAGGGCGCAAGCGUUAUCCGGAAUUAUUGGGCGUAAAGAGCUCGUAGGCGGUUUGUCGCGUCUGCUGUGAAAGACCGGGGCUCAACUCCGGUUCUGCAGUGGGUACGGGCAGACUAGAGUGAUGUAGGGGAGACUGGAAUUCCUGGUGUAGCGGUGAAAUGCGCAGAUAUCAGGAGGAACACCGAUGGCGAAGGCAGGUCUCUGGGCAUUAACUGACGCUGAGGAGCGAAAGCAUGGGGAGCGAACAGGAUUAGAUA
RNAcentral lists this ribosomal RNA (712 nucleotides) under Arthrobacter bambusae. Its description in RNAcentral is "bacterial SSU rRNA". It matches the Rfam family "Bacterial small subunit ribosomal RNA", at positions 56 to 784 of the family's 1533-position model. The record is from RNAcentral. Lineage: Bacteria; Bacillati; Actinomycetota; Actinomycetes; Micrococcales; Micrococcaceae.